GAUGAACGCUGGCGGCGUGCCUAAUACAUGCAAGUCGAGCGAACGGACGAGAAGCUUGCUUUUCUGAUGUUAGCGGCGGACGGGUGAGUAACACGUGGAUAACCUACCUAUAAGACUGGGAUAACUUCGGGAAACCGGAGCUAAUACCGGAUAAUAUUUUGAACCGCAUGGUUCAUAAGUGAAAGACGGUCUUGCUGUCACUUAUAGAUGGAUCCGCGCUGCAUUAGCUAGUUGGUAAGGUAACGGCUUACCAAGGCAACGAUGCAUAGCCGACCUGAGAGGGUGAUCGGCCACACUGGAACUGAGACACGGUCCAGACUCCUACGGGAGGCAGCAGUAGGGAAUCUUCCGCAAUGGGCGAAAGCCUGACGGAGCAACGCCGCGUGAGUGAUGAAGGUCUUCGGAUCGUAAAACUCUGUUAUUAGGGAAGAACAUAUGUGUAAGUAACUGUGCACAUCUUAACGGUACCUAAUCAGAAAGCCACGGCUAACUACGUG
This 497-nucleotide ribosomal RNA is filed under the name uncultured bacterium. RNAcentral's name for it is "partial 16S ribosomal RNA". It matches the Rfam family "Bacterial small subunit ribosomal RNA", at positions 28 to 507 of the family's 1533-position model. The record is from RNAcentral.